Molecule: long non-coding RNA, 1120 nt
Filed under: Mus musculus (house mouse)
Lineage: Eukaryota; Metazoa; Chordata; Mammalia; Rodentia; Muridae
Description: predicted gene 5106 (Gm5106)
Source: RNAcentral
GCUGGGUCCCUUCCGCCCUGGCGCGCUCCUCCACCAGCCCGCGGCUGCGAGCUGGGCAGCGAGAUCCACAGCACAGGGCUGGCGCGGAAAACACCGUCCUGAAGGCUGCUGCUGCGGGUGCUCUUGGAGCGACUUGUGGCUGUCGCCACUUGGUCCCCACAGACUCAAGAGGACGCUACCACCCGGACCGGACUCAGGCAUCCGGAGCACCGCACUCUUCCGAGAACUGCCUACCUCACGUGCCACCUCCGGGUUUCCUUCGCAAAGUCAGCCAAGAUGUAGAAUUUGGAAGUAGCUCUGAGUUGAGCGGAACCUCAGAAGAUGGAAGCAGCGGCCUCAGCCUCUUACGGCUUCAAGAGCCACUGCGGGAAGGAGCCAGAGGGCUUCCUCGGGCCCCGGAUUAAAAUAGAUGCCAGCGGCCGCCCUAAGGCCCGGCAGCCAAUCAGCCUGGUGGGUGGGAUUGGGCAUGGGCAGCUGGAGCGGUUGCGAAACAGGAGAUACUUCCAGGCUUACCCUGAUUUUUUUGAGAAGGGCGCUGGUUCCCUCAGACAUUUACAUAGACUUGUCUUUACGUGUUCAGUGGGCAGUGUGUUCACACCGGGAUUGAAGUCGCUCAACUGUGAAAUGACAUGGGAACGUUCCAGUGUGUUCACACCAGGAUUGAAGUCAAUAAACUGUGAAGUGACAUGGGAACGUUCAAUGGCCUCACACCUCGGAGUCUCAAUCCUUACUGAUUUGAUCCCCUGAAUCCACAGGUGCAAGAGAGAGCCAACUCCUGAAAGUUGUCCUGUGACAUCCACACUUGCAACAUGACAUAGAUCCUAUAAGGUGGACAUGACUGUGCAGAGAAUGCUGCCCACUGAUUCUCAGCACCACUGCAAACUUCAUCUGAUAGGCUUAGUGUACUCAGGAGCACGUCAAUCCGCCAUCUUUGAGUCAGGCUGUAGUAUGCACAAUCUGAUGCUACCAGGGGUCUUCCUGUCCUCCAUUGUUCCUUCUUGAACUAUGACUACAAACUGAGCAUGCUCAGUAGUAUAUACUUUGAAUUGAAUAUGCGGGGCAAUGUAUCAACACCAAACACUUUCCCAUAUGACUGUGUGUUGAGCUUUGUCACAGGAGG